GCGCCCUCGGCGCCAUGCCGACACCGGUACCUGGCACGGCCGGUGCGG
Regulatory RNA element from Streptomyces sp. MP131-18, 48 nucleotides. It matches the Rfam family "L17-Actino-Proteobacteria ribosomal protein leader". The record is from Rfam. Lineage: Bacteria; Bacillati; Actinomycetota; Actinomycetes; Kitasatosporales; Streptomycetaceae.